UUUUUUUUUUUUGUCUUUUUGCCAUUUCUUGGGCUGCUCCCGGCAUAUGGAGGUUCCCAGAAGAGACAAUUAAUUAAUUAAUUAAUUAAUUAAAUAAGAAAAGAUUUUUAAAGGCAUAUGAGAAAGUAUAUUUCACUUCUCAUUCAAUACAACACAGUCCAUUGAGAGGAACUGGUCACCUCAGGGAAUGAAGUUUUAUUUAGCACAAACAGGAGAGGUUUUCAAUUAGUAUGUCUAUUCUUUAAUAAUUUCAUCAUUCUUCCGAGAUUAUAAAAGCAGUACAUCCUAGGUAAAAAAAAUUGAGAAAAAAGAUCACCCACAAUAUUAUUACCUAGAGAUAAUAAGCUCUUAUUAGUAUUUGGCAUACAUACUUUCUUUUAAGAUUUCUAUAUACAGAGCUUUUGUCCAUAUUAAAGAAAAUUAGGGAGCUCCCAUUGUGGCUCAGUGGGUUAUGAACCCGACUAGCAUACAUGAGGAUGCAGGUUUGAUUCCUGGCCUUGCUCAGUGGGUUAAGGAUCUGGCAUUGCUGUGAGCUGUGCUGUAGGUCGAAUAUGAGGCUCAGAUCCUGCAUUGCUGUGGCUAGUGGCGUAGGCUGGCAGCUGCAGCUCUGAUUCAACACCCUAGCCUGGGAACUUCCAUAUGCCAAAGGUGUGUCCCUGAAAAGCAAAAAAAAAAAAAAAAAAAAAAAAAAAAUCAUACAUUAAGCAUAUUCUCAUCCCAUUCUGUUUUUCUAAAUAUCAUUCCAUAUCAAUAAAUAUUGGCCUCUACCAUCCUGUUUAAAGAUUGCACAGUAUUUCACUAUAUGGAUAGGCCCUAAUGACUUAAUCAAUCCUUUAUUAAUAGGGGUUUAGGUUACUUUCCAUGUUUUGCUGUUGCAAAAAACAGGGCAAUGAGCAAUCUGGUACAUAUGACUGUUUCUUUAAGAUAAAUUCCUAGACGAUAGCUUGUCAUUUUAUAACUCUGGAUCCAUAUUGCCCCAAGUGUCACCCAUAAAAUACAUACCAAAUUUACCUUUUUCAAAAGAAGGAAACCCUUAAAUUUAAGAGUAAUAGCAUAUUUUACAUUUCUAAUAUUUAGAUUAAGCAACCAAAAACUUUAAAAAUUCAAUUUAUCUCUAAAAAUCUAAAAUAUCAAUUCAUGCCUCUGAUAUUGCAUUAGAAUUACAUUUGGAGGGGGGGAAUUCUAAAAUACCUAAUAAACCGGUUUUGUUUUCAGCAUUUAUUAAUUUGAAAACUUAAACUCUGAAAAGAAUAUACUUGCUAUAAAACAAGCAAAUUAGUAGGGAAAACUAAAAGGCAAGGAGAGAGGCAAAAAAUACACUAAUCAGUUAUAGCAGCCACCAGGUCACCAAAUCUGAAUCCUAUACAAGGGCUGAGAAAGAAGCAUCAAGAAAAAGAGAAAAGGUGACAACUAAAAGAAACAGCUUUCAGAGACUCAGUGAUGGCUGGAUUAAAUUACACACAGACAUAUACAUCUACAUGCUCUGUAUAGAACCAAUCCUGAAGCUAAUCUCUAGGGGUUAGAACACAAGAGGAACCUUUGUGUGCUUUAUUUAACCAAACAUCAUGUACAAGGGGAUGGGGGAGGCCAGAUACAGGGAAGAGUGUCUAGGUAGCAGCUUGAGGGCCUAGUAUCAACUACUUCCCCUCCUGGGCACCAGGAGGGUAACAGGAACUUGAGGCAUAAAGCAGCUCCAAAGGCACUUAUUCCCUUCAAAACCAACACAAAUGACAAGGCUCAAUCAUCAAGUUCUUUGGCAAACUGGGCAAGGUGAGACUAUUUUUACCAACAAAUAAUUUACUGGAGAGCACCAUGUUUGUGCCUAGGAGGGGAAGGCCACAUAUUAUAACUAAUCUACUGGAGUUUCAUCCUAAUGGGGAAGGCAGGGACAUUAGAUAAAGCAACCAUAACAAAAGCACUGAACAUUUAAGAUGGAAAAUGGCAGUGUGUAUAGGGGUAAGAGGAGGUACUGUUGCUUGCUAACACCACACACCUAUAGGACUUGGGGUCUAACAUUCUUCUAGGCAAGGGCUCAGUAAACUAUGGCCCUUGAAUGGGUCAAAUCCAAUUCUGACUUAUGCUAUGAGCCAUUACCUAUAUAUAACACUUUUAAAUGGUUGAAAAAUUCUUAAAACUGUUUCCCAGCAUACAAAAAUUUCAUGAAAUUCAAACAUCAGUGUCCACAAAGUUUUACUGAACACAGCCAUGCCCACUCCUGGUCAAUGGCUACCUUCUCCAUGCACUGAGUUGGGAGGCUCUAAAUGCUUCAUGCUUGUUAGUUUGGCCCUGACAUACCCAGAAUUUAGACAUAGCCUGCUAGCCUAACAGAGAAUGCAGCCCCAUUUUUAAGAACAGCAGGCAGGUCUAAUUGGUUCUAUGGAUGCUGGGGUACUAGCCAAAUAGUAACCAGAAAAAUGUGAAAGGUUUUUUGAGUUGAAAGUAGAAUGGUCUCAGAAGGUGUGUGUUGGGGUGAGUAGGAUUAAAGGUUUCUCUCUGAAAGAAUACAUGAGCUAUCUCCUUGGACAAGAGAAUGAAACCGUCCUCAAAAUGACUACUACCUUUAGGAGCUUAGCACUGAGCAAAGCCUUUUGCCUUUAUUAUCUCAUUUAAUCUCAAACCCAGGUUCAAGUCUAAGCCUGUGUUCCUAACCACUCCCUGACUUAAAAGCACAAGACAACAAUGUUCACCAGGACUAAAAGAGAGGAAAAGACCACAGGAACAGUGGAAGGUUAUUUUAUGGCCAUGAGCAUCAGAAGUGUUCUAUUCAUCUCUCUCCUCCCUCUCCCUCUUUCUCCUUAUAGUAACAUCAUUUCCUUUAAAGAAAGUAAAAUGCAACUUAUUUCUUCCAGGAACUUGCUUGUUGAGAAAAACUGAUGCAGGUACUCAAACAUGGAGACAUUUUAAAGAUGUCACCAUCAAAGUUAUAGAUCUAACUUCUACUAAAUGCAAUCAAUGUGUAAGGGUCUCCAAAAGAAGGGGGUGAGGAAACAUUUUUUGAGGCAAUGGUUUAGAAAGCACAUAUACAGUUUAAUUUAGAUUUUUCAUUUAAAGUACAAUGAGGAGUAACAGUUAAAUGAAUCUUACUCAAAGAAAGGGCUAUGAUGCUGGUAGGCAGCUGAAUCUUUCUUACUAGGAUCCAUGUUCUUUGCUUUGCCAACUAUACCACCAUUUUCCUUCAAGUUCUCCAAAAAGCCUACAAUUAUAAGAACCACUCAAUCCUAACUCAUUUUGUGAAAACCAGAUUUUUAAGAAGUUUCACUUGGUUGAUAUUUUCAUCAUACUUAUUUGCAGAUAACGUAUACCAUUAUUAUAUAACAUGUUUGUACAUAUUUACUUGGGUGUUUAUGAAUGGUUACCAACAUCUAGCUCCCAAGUUCUUCCUGUGCACCAAAUGAGGGGCUCAGAGUUUCAUACAGGGAACUUCCUGCAAGGCUCCCAACACUUCUACUAGGUAGGCUUUAUCUAGAUGAGGAACCUCAGGGUCAGGCAGGAUAAGUACAUACAGUGAAUGAGAACGAAAGAACCCAGAUUUGGACUUAAGCCUGUUUUGACUCAGAAACUGUGUUUUUCCCAUAGCAUUCUGCCAAGGCACCAACACAUUUCCUUAGACUAUCUCUCAGUCAAAUUUGCUGGAGAGCAGUAAGGGUGUGGAGUUGAAUAAACGAUUAGCUCUAAGAGUGGUUACUGGGCUAAAGCCUCUGCGUAUCGACAAUAAAUCCAUUUGAUCUAAUGUUUUUUGAUUUGUUUGGGUUUUUUCUGCUUUUUAGAGCUGCACCGAAGGCACAGAGAAGUACCCAUGCUAGACGUCCAACAGGGACUGCAGUUGCCAGCCUACACCACAGCCACUGCAAUGUGGAUCCGAGCUACAUCUGCAAUCUACACCACGGCUCACAGCAUUGCCAGAUUCUUACCCACUGGGUGAGGCCAGGGAUUGAACCUACGUCCUCAUGGAUACUAGUUGGGUUCAUUACUGCUGAGCAGAGAUGGGAACUC
This 3993-nucleotide long non-coding RNA is filed under the name Sus scrofa (pig). RNAcentral describes it as "lncRNA (ENSSSCG00025069338.1)". Lineage: Eukaryota; Metazoa; Chordata; Mammalia; Artiodactyla; Suidae. The record is from RNAcentral.